UUGACAUGAUGAAAUGCAAUAUGAAAUGCUAAAUGAAUGCAUGAAUGAGGAGGGCAAAUUUUGGGGUGUUACAGAAUCGCCACUUAAUUUCUGUAGCGGUAAAUUCAUGUUCAUCAAGCUAUGGAUAAGCAAGACAUCAAAUAACAAGAGUCGCCACCGUGCUUUUAUUGUUUCCUAGGGAAAAGAGAAAAGUACGAACAAAACCCACAAAUAAGAAGUUUUCAAAUCAAAACUAAUAAAAUGUCAUAGAUUACAG
Molecule: long non-coding RNA, 256 nt
Filed under: Lathyrus oleraceus (garden pea)
Lineage: Eukaryota; Viridiplantae; Streptophyta; Magnoliopsida; Fabales; Fabaceae
Description: Pisum sativum (pea) long non-coding RNA (PSAT_LNC011541)
Source: RNAcentral